Molecule: ribosomal RNA, 372 nt
Filed under: uncultured bacterium
Lineage: Bacteria
Description: bacterial SSU rRNA
Rfam family: Bacterial small subunit ribosomal RNA
Source: RNAcentral
GGGGGGAGCAAGCGUUGUUCGGAUUUACUGGGCGUAAAGGGCGCGUAGGCGGCCAGCACAAGUCAGUUGUGAAAUCUCCGAGCUUAACUCGGAAAGGUCAACUGAUACUGUGCGGCUAGAGUGCAGAAGGGGCAACUGGAAUUCUUGGUGUAGCGGUGAAAUGCGUAGAUAUCAAGAGGAACACCUGCGGCGAAGGCGGGUUGCUGGGCUGACACUGACGCUGAGGCGCGAAAGCUAGGGGAGCGAACGGGAUUAGAUACCCCGGUAGUCCUAGCCUUAAACGAUGAAUGCUUGUGUCUGGGGUUAUAAAGUCCCCGGGUGCCGUCGCUAACGCUUUAAGCAUUCCGCCUGGGGAGUACGGUCGCAAGACUG